UACAGAGGGGGCAAGCGUUGUUCGGAAUUACUGGGCGUAAAGGGCGCGUAGGCGGCCUGCUAAGUCGAACGUGAAAUCCCUGGGCUCAACCCAGGAACUGCGUCCGAUACUGGUUGGCUUGAAUCCGGGAGAGGGAAGCGGAAUUCCGGGUGUAGCGGUGAAAUGCGUAGAUAUCCGGAGGAACACCGGUGGCGAAGGCGGCUUCCUGGACCGACACUGACGCUGAGGCGCGAAAGCUAGGGGAGCAAACGGG
This 253-nucleotide ribosomal RNA is filed under the name uncultured bacterium. Its description in RNAcentral is "partial 16S ribosomal RNA". It matches the Rfam family "Bacterial small subunit ribosomal RNA", at positions 524 to 776 of the family's 1533-position model. The record is from RNAcentral.